Molecule: long non-coding RNA, 212 nt
Filed under: Zostera marina
Lineage: Eukaryota; Viridiplantae; Streptophyta; Magnoliopsida; Alismatales; Zosteraceae
Description: long non-coding RNA (ZMAR_LNC004280)
Source: RNAcentral
UCCAGAUUACUCAUGGCCGCUCCUUCUCACUCCGCCGCUAGUGCCGCCAUUGCGGAAGCCCUCUUUGCCACUCCGGAUGGCAAAAACCCGCUGUCUGUCAUCAGCGCCGACGGGAUCCGGGACGCUCUCGCGAGGAUGGGCCAGCCUGAUCUGGACUUCACUGAGGCCGGAGAUCGCCUCGCCUCUCAGCCGCCGCCGGGCAUAGUCGCCCU